RNAcentral lists this ribosomal RNA (384 nucleotides) under Dysdera gomerensis. RNAcentral describes it as "eukaryotic LSU rRNA". The stretch from base 1 to 105 matches the Rfam family "5.8S ribosomal RNA", at positions 50 to 154 of the family's 154-position model. Lineage: Eukaryota; Metazoa; Arthropoda; Arachnida; Araneae; Dysderidae. The record is from RNAcentral.
CAGCUGCGAGACUUGGUGUGAAUUGCAGGACACAUUGAGCACUGAUUUUUCGAACGCGCAUUGCGGCCUCGGGUCUCGCCCGGGGCCUCGCCUGUCUGAGGGUCGGAUGCGACAUACCGAGAGGUGAACUUUCCUGCCUGCCUUCCUUCCGGUCCCAGUUCCGGAAGUAGUGGUACUUGGAUUGAAAGCCUCACGUGGCCGCUUCGGAGGUUGUUACUACACUCCGUCGGCUCGAGUCUUGGUUCGAUGUUGACAGGGAAGACCUCCUUCGGCGUCGUUCUCGACGUGGCCGUGGGAAAGGCGAGUAAGAAACGUUCUUUCUACAACCAUGGCUCAUCGUUCGAGAUGCCGUAAUUGGAGAUUCUCAUUUGUCGACCUCAGAUC